Eptesicus fuscus (big brown bat) is the source of this 109-nucleotide small nuclear RNA. The record is from RefSeq and is a predicted model, not a curated record. NCBI's taxonomy places the organism in Eukaryota, Metazoa, Chordata, Mammalia, Chiroptera, Vespertilionidae.
GUUUGUUUCAGCAGCACAUUUACUAAAAAAAUUCAGAACGAUAUGGAGAAUAUUAGCCUGACCCCUGUGCUAAGAUGACAAGGAAAUUCAGGAAGCAUUCUAUAGUUUU